Molecule: ribosomal RNA, 468 nt
Filed under: uncultured bacterium
Lineage: Bacteria
Description: partial 16S ribosomal RNA
Rfam family: Bacterial small subunit ribosomal RNA
Source: RNAcentral
GACGAACGCUGGCGGCGUGCUUAACACAUGCAAGUCGAACGGAAAGGCCCUGCUUUUGUGGGGUGCUCGAGUGGCGAACGGGUGAGUAACACGUGAGUAACCUGCCCUUGACUUUGGGAUAACUUCAGGAAACUGGGGUUAAUACCGGAUAGGAGCUCAUGCUGCAUGGUGGGGGUUGGAAAGUUUCGGCGGUCGGGGAUGGACUCGCGGCUUAUCAGCUUGUUGGUGGGGUAGUGGCUUACCAAGGAUUUGACGGGUAGCCGGCCUGAGAGGGUGACCGGCCACAUUGGGACUGAGAUACGGCCCAGACUCCUACGGUAGGCAGCAGUGGGGAAUAUUGCACAAUGGGCGGAAGCCUGAUGCAGCAACGCCGCGUGCGGGAUGACGGCCUUCGGGUUGUAAACCGCUUUCGCCUGUGACGAAGCGUGAGUGACGGUAAUGGGUAAAGAAGCACCGGCUAACUACGUG